AAAACGACUCUCGGCAACGGAUAUCUCGGCUCUCGCAUCGAUGAAGAACGUAGCGAAACGCGAUACUUGGUGUGAAUUGCAGAAUCCCGUGAACCAUCGAGUCUUUGAACGCAAGUUGCGCCCCAAGCCAUUAGGCCGAGGGCACGUCUGCAUGGGUGUCACGC
Molecule: ribosomal RNA, 164 nt
Filed under: Iliamna grandiflora
Lineage: Eukaryota; Viridiplantae; Streptophyta; Magnoliopsida; Malvales; Malvaceae
Description: 5.8S ribosomal RNA
Rfam family: 5.8S ribosomal RNA
About the family: 5.8S ribosomal RNA (5.8S rRNA) is a component of the large subunit of the eukaryotic ribosome. It is transcribed by RNA polymerase I as part of the 45S precursor that also contains 18S and 28S rRNA. Functionally, it is thought that 5.8S rRNA may be involved in ribosome translocation.
Source: RNAcentral